AUUAUACUCCCUCCGUUUGGAAUUACUUGUCUCGGAAAUGGAUGUAUCUGGAACUAAAAUACAUCUGGAUACAUUCAUUUUCGCGUCAAGUAAUUCCGAACGGAGGGAGUAGAAA
Triticum aestivum (bread wheat) is the source of this 115-nucleotide non-coding RNA. NCBI's taxonomy places the organism in Eukaryota, Viridiplantae, Streptophyta, Magnoliopsida, Poales, Poaceae. The record is from Rfam.